This 676-nucleotide long non-coding RNA is filed under the name Junco hyemalis (dark-eyed junco). RNAcentral's name for it is "lncRNA (ENSJHYG00000005734.1)". Lineage: Eukaryota; Metazoa; Chordata; Aves; Passeriformes; Passerellidae. The record is from RNAcentral.
ACCCUGAGGUGCACAAAGGAUUUAUCCCAGCAUUUGCCCCAGAAUUUGUCCUAGGAUUUUCCACUUGUCCUGCUGAAAUAUUUCCCAAAUUUUCCUCCCUCUGGGUCUUUUCUGUGUUUGAAUUUCGGUGUUUGACCCCGCAGAGCCCUCCUGGAAUUCCUGCUGGGCAAAACCAGCUCCAAAUUCCCUUUGUAACCCAAAUUCUCCUUUUAACCCAAAUUCUCCUUUUAACCCAAAUUCCCUUUUUAACCCAAAUUCUCCUGGUUUUCCCCACCAGUCGGAUGAGCAGACCUGUGAGGAUCUGGCGGAGGGUGAUCAUUACCUGGGCAGCUCCGUGUCGGUGUCACCUGGCGCUGUCACCUCCCCCACGGCCUCGCUCUUCCUCGACAGCCUCACCACCGAAGAUGACACCAAACUCAACCAGUUUGCAGGAGAGGGGAGCAGCCUGCCCUCACAGAGCGCGGGUGCCCCAAUCCCCACGGGCACCGUGGUUGGCAUCGUGGUGGCCGUGCUGGUGCUGGCCGGGGCCAUCCUGGCCGGGAUCUACAUCAGCGGCCACCCCACGUCCAGCGCCGCCCUCUUCUUCAUCGAGGUGAGGCAGCAGCUCAGCCCCGCCCGGGGAAUCAUCCCAUCCUCCUCAUCCUCCCCUCUCCUGGAUCUGGGUCCUCCCAGGCAG